Molecule: non-coding RNA, 641 nt
Organism: Cinara cedri
Lineage: Eukaryota; Metazoa; Arthropoda; Insecta; Hemiptera; Aphididae
Source: the annotation of a GenBank genome assembly
CGAAUUUAAAUCUGUUUCGUAAACUAUUUAAAGUAAGAAGAAAUUGUAACUAGUAAAAGAAUUAAUUACAAAAUACAAUCUGAGUUUCCAUAACAUAUUUUAAAUUCUAAACGGAACAAGUAAUAACAAAUUAUGAAUUUGUUAAUAAUGUUUCACUGUAAAUAUUAUUCAGGUUUUAGUGUUAUUAGCUCAUAUAGUUAUUAUAUUAUAACAGUAUAAUUUAUAUUUAAUAAUAUUAUAAUAUUAAUAGAUACAUUUUUGCCUGUCCACGUUUCUCGACUAGCUAACAGGCCCAGUCCUCCCCUGAUAAUUACCAACACUAUGCAAACGAGUUAUGGUGUAGAAAUUAUGGUUUGACACAUUUUGGUUUUUAUUUUGAAGUGCUUCUGUAAUAAGAGCAAAUGAUCCCAAUGCUAAUUUAAAAAAUUCAUUAUAAUGCUAUUGACUACAAGUGUAAUAAAUUAAUAUUUCUUUUUUGUUUCCUCAAAAAUAUAUUAACAUUAUUAUUGUAUUAUGGAAUGACACUCUACUUCUUUUUCUUAUUUAGUAUUUUUAUCAUUUAAAUUGAGGAGUUAAUAUAAAAUAUUAUUAAUAUUUAAAUUUUGUUGACAAAUGUCUACAUUAUUUUAAAUUGGGAAAUG